Molecule: ribosomal RNA, 253 nt
Filed under: uncultured bacterium
Lineage: Bacteria
Description: partial 16S ribosomal RNA
Rfam family: Bacterial small subunit ribosomal RNA
Source: RNAcentral
GACGAACCGUCCUAACGUUGUUCGGAAUCACUGGGCUUAAAGGGCGCGUAGGCGGCUUGCCAAGUCAGGGGUGAAAUCCUGCAGCUUAACUGUAGAAGGGCCUUUGAUACUGGCGAGCUCGAGGGAGGUAGGGGUAUGUGGAACUUCCGGUGGAGCGGUGAAAUGCGUUGAUAUCGGAAGGAACGCCGGUGGCGAAAGCGACGUACUGGACCUCUUCUGACGCUGAGGCGCGAAAGCUAGGGGAGCGAACGGG